AUAUACUAGUACAUAUACAUACACUAAAAUUGGAAUGAUACAGAGAAGAUUAGAAUGGCAUCUGUGCAAGGAUGACACACAAAUUCAUGAAGCAUUCCAUACUUAG
This is a small nuclear RNA of Nannospalax galili (Upper Galilee mountains blind mole rat), 106 nucleotides long. Lineage: Eukaryota; Metazoa; Chordata; Mammalia; Rodentia; Spalacidae. The record is from Ensembl.